UCAUGUUAUAAACAUUGUAAUCAUUAUAAACAUAACAAAAUAGUAUUAUGAACAGAAUUCUCUUUAAACAAAUCUCCAAAGGUAGAUAGAUAAUCAUAAUAUUCAUGGCUUGUCCAGUCACACACUUUGCACAGCAUACUUUAUUAGAAGAUUUCUCUUCUUACACAAUAAAUGUACAGGGACAAUUUUAAUUAGUGCAACAAAAUAACAACCACAAUUUAAAAUAAUUUAUGAAUAAAUAAAAACAACAGAAAAUGAGAAAAAAUAUUUUUUCCUCAUUACCAUAAAGUUGUUCUAGGGCUUAUCUUGGUCCCAUGUAAAGAUCAUCAAUCAAUGACCCACAUUCAUACAACAGUAUAGUCACAUGACCAUAAUCAAUAGCCACAAGACCAUAAACAAUGUGUUCUGCAUUUUUAAGUCAUAAUGUAUAUUUUUUAAUUAAAUUAUAAAAAUCAACAUGAAGAAGCAAAAAAAAAAAGAUUGAUCUAAUAUAUUUUCUUCGAUUUUAUCUGGAAUAAAAUACUAUUUACCAUCAUCUGAGAGGGGGGGAAAAGUUCAUGUAAAAACAAAUGAUCAGCAUAUCAAACUGCAUCAGUAAGCAUGUACCCCUAAACUUUCUUACAUCUAUGUUGUCAUAUAAUUGGCGAUUCUGUAGCUCAAGAGUUAUCAUUUGAAAGGUUUCAAUUUACAAUAAAACAUGUACAAUAAAGUACUCUAAAUAACAGGCAAAAAUUUGUUUUAAAACAAUAUAGAACCAAGUGCUAUUCUACUUUCUCAAAUCAUCCAUACUUUAUAAUAAAUGUAAUUUACUAGACUCAAACCUUAAGUUUGUUUUUCUUAUCUCUGUAAACAUGUCAGGAUAACAUUAUCUAGUAGCAAAGUCAUUCAAUAACUAAACAAGAGAAAUGAAAACAAAAGCUAUCACAUACACACAAUCAAUGUAUGUACUCACUAGAUGUUGGUUACUUGAUUAGAAUAAGACCAGACAUUUUCAGUUGGUUUUAGUUUAAAAAAUACAAUUGUCAAAUAACUAUUGCAACACAAUGUAGAAUUAUACUGCCUAUGGACAAAAAAUGACUCAUUAAUCAUUUAAACAUGUUAUACAAUGUUGCCUGUCUAGUUGGACCCUUGUGACAAGAUGACUUGAUCAAACAUAUUUUAGCAACAAAAGGGAAGGAAUGCACACAAAUCUUUUACAGCAGAAGUGGUAACCUUUUUGGCAUGUGGCCAGGUUUUUUUUGUCUGUGGGGGUUUCAAAAUGCAAGAUUUUUUUUUAUUUUUUUU
This is a non-coding RNA of Biomphalaria pfeifferi, 1284 nucleotides long. Lineage: Eukaryota; Metazoa; Mollusca; Gastropoda; Planorbidae. The record is from the annotation of a GenBank genome assembly.